AGACCUGUGGUUUCCAGCUGAGCCCUCUGCAUCCAGCACACUGGCAAGCAUGCAGAGCCUCCUGAGCCAUCCAGUGUCUCAGUGAAUGAUUGUUUGUUUCGUAAAUAUUACUGGCCACAGCUCAAAGGAGCUUUUCUAUGCUUUUGAUCUCCACUACAAACACAAAGGACUGAGCAGCAUGUGGCCAGGAAAAGCUGCAUCCAGCAAGAGGCUAUGAAAACUUCUGCCCGGAGUCAGUGAAAAAGGGAGGUCACUGGUUCAAAUUCAGCUUUAGUUGGUGAUGAGUGACAAGGAACAAUGAGACAGGGACAAAUCAUCAGCUGGAGACACCAGGUCUGCC
This is a non-coding RNA of Cyanistes caeruleus (blue tit), 340 nucleotides long. Lineage: Eukaryota; Metazoa; Chordata; Aves; Passeriformes; Paridae. The record is from RefSeq and is a predicted model, not a curated record.